RNAcentral lists this ribosomal RNA (500 nucleotides) under uncultured bacterium. RNAcentral describes it as "bacterial SSU rRNA". It matches the Rfam family "Bacterial small subunit ribosomal RNA", at positions 29 to 524 of the family's 1533-position model. The record is from RNAcentral.
AUUGAACGCUGGCGGAAUGCUUUACACAUGCAAGUCGAGCGGCAGCGCGGGGCAACCUGGCGGCGAGCGGCGAACGGGUGAGUAAUGCAUCGGAACAUGUCCAUGUCGUGGGGGAUAGCCCGGCGAAAGCCGGAUUAAUACCGCAUACGCCCGAGAGGGGAAAGUGGGGGACCGCAAGGCCUCACGCGAUUGGGUUGGCCGAUGUCCGAUUAGCUAGUUGGUGGGGUAAAGGCUUACCAAGGCGAUGAUCGGUAGCUGGUCUGAGAGGAUGAUCAGCCACACUGGGACUGAGACACGGCCCAGACUCCUACGGGAGGCAGCAGUGGGGAAUUUUGGACAAUGGGGGCAACCCUGAUCCAGCCAUUCCGCGUGAGUGAAGAAGGCCUUCGGGUUGUAAAGCUCUUUUGUCCGGAACGAAACGGUUGCGUCUAAUAAGCGCGACUACUGACGGUACCGGAAGAAUAAGCACCGGCUAACUACGUGCCAGCAGCCGCGGUAAU